This 1084-nucleotide long non-coding RNA is filed under the name Monodelphis domestica (gray short-tailed opossum). RNAcentral describes it as "lncRNA (ENSMODG00000044454.1)". The record is from RNAcentral. Lineage: Eukaryota; Metazoa; Chordata; Mammalia; Didelphimorphia; Didelphidae.
UUUGUAGAAUUUUUUCCUCUUGUCCCUAAAGCACUUCACUCUGUUUCAGUUCUCAUAGAGAUCUUUCCUUUGGAAAAUCCUUUUGAUUUCCUCUAUUUGGAAAUUGCCUUGGGCCUGACACUAGCAGUAUGGACAACAAAAUCAUCCAGCUAUGAUUCCCACCUUCUUGGAGAUGCUAUUAAGAUGUAGCAGACAAAACACACAUGGGGAUGAGUGUGACCGUGGAGUGUAGUCUUCUCACAUUACGGGUGACGGUGAAAAAACAUCUGUUUAAUGAUGUGCCUGUGGCUCCUGAAGAACUGAUGCUUGGGACAGGCUGUCCAGUUACCGGGGAAACAUCAGCUAUAUAUGAGUUACACUAUCCUGUGUCAGAGUGUGGAAUUCAUUUUGAGGCUUUUCAAACACUUGUACUCUAUAAAACCACACUCUAUUAUAAGCCAACAAAUCCCUUUCCGGCACUAACAUUUCCCUUGUUCUGCACAGUGUUCAAGAAACUAUUCUUACCAAAAUUAAAUGAUCCUGUUCGUGUUCUGCCGCCUCAGGAAGCCCCAACACUGAAUGGCAUAAAAAUGCGGAGUAGUGUUUCUGUUCCCUCCUAUUGGAAUAGAGACUUCCCUGGGAUGUUGGUGGAGCAAGGCAUAAAAUCUCUUCAGAACAGAUACUGAAUCUUGGAACCAGUUCUUUCCCCAUCUUGGCUCCAAGCUCCGUAGUCUGCCACCUUCUUUGAUGUGGAGAGAAUGGACUAUCUGCAUCCUGAGAUUUCCAAGAAGGUAGCCACAGGACAGUCAAGGCCAGGGAAACAUGAACCUCACGCAAUUCUGGUUCCAAACUUUGGGAAACUGGCAUUGUUCAAGCUUGCAUUGGUGAGAUUCUCAGUGGGUUUAAAAAAAUUCCUCUAAAAAAUUAAACCUAAGCAUAUUGCCCUUUUUAAAUUCUCUCUAUACAAGGGCACUAUGUGGAUUUUAUAUAGAGAUUUAUUAGAAUGUGUAUAUUCAGCAUUGCAAUGAUGUAUAUGUAUACAUUAGUUUAUGUGCAUGUAUUAUAAUGAUUUGUUAAUUUAAUAAAAUUUUACGUAUACGUCUCA